UUUAUACCUUUCUUUUGCUUAUCUCUUUCUACUCUCUCCUUUUACCUUCUUUACACAGCUGUCAAUUUGGGAGAGAAUGAGUCAAGAUGCUCUUCAAAAAAUUUGAUCCCACAGAAGAUAUGGAAAAUGGUCAAAAAGCCUUGGCUAGAGAAGAAGCUCUGGCUCCCACUCCUCAUAUACAUACUUUUACCACCAGACAUUGUGGAAAAGGGGAUUGUUCUAAUCCUUUCAAACUACUACUGGUGCCAACAAGGACAGAGACCAGUAGGCAUCUCCCAGUGGUCAUCUUUUUCCUGCAUUGACUCUGAGCAUUUUCACCCUGUGAGAUCUGGUGAAUACUUUUUCUCAAGAAAGAAGGAUGAGCAAUUCCCCUUUGCAGGCGGAGCUGCCCACAAACCCUGGACACUGGCUACCUGCAGGAGUCACAGGGAGCACCAGUGCAACACAGCAUGGAAAACACUUAUGUUCCUAGCAGGGCAAUCCAAAGCAAUACAUUUCACAACCAGUCAACAAACAAGGAUAUAGACUGGCAGUUGUGAGCCCUCCUGCUGGAAGUGCUUGUAUGGAUCUCAUGAGAAGCCAAGGAAGUUCCAUUCAGUUCACUAACCAGUCGUAAGUCAAUAGCAAAUCCCAGCUGCAGUCUCUCUGCCAGGCCUACCAGGCUUCGGCAUGGAUCCCAGGCAGACCAACAGAACUAAAUUUACAGUGGAACUGUUUGGAAUAACAAAUUAAGAGGAAAAAAAUCAGGAUAUGUUCAUAAUUACAUUCCAUGAACGUAAAGGGAGGUCAUGUGUUGCAUAUGUUAUUUUUUGCAGAAAGUCAUUCUCUCCCAGCUCUAAAUUAAUCAUGUUUCAUCAGAAUGGUUUUGCAUAUCAAUAAAGCUGCAUUGCUUAGAAAUUCA
RNAcentral lists this long non-coding RNA (901 nucleotides) under Cyanistes caeruleus (blue tit). RNAcentral's name for it is "lncRNA (ENSCCEG00000020004.1)". The record is from RNAcentral. Lineage: Eukaryota; Metazoa; Chordata; Aves; Passeriformes; Paridae.